AACGAACGCUGGCGGCAUGCCUAACACAUGCAAGUCGAACGAGAUCUUCGGAUCUAGUGGCGCACGGGUGCGUAACGCGUGGGAAUCUGCCCUUGGGUUCGGAAUAACAGUGAGAAAUUACUGCUAAUACCGGAUGAUGUCUUCGGACCAAAGAUUUAGUGCCCAAGGAUGAGCCCGCGUAGGAUUAGCUAGUUGGUGGGGUAAUGGCCUACCAAGGCGACGAUCCUUAGCUGGUCUGAGAGAAUGAUCAGCCACACUGGUACUGAAACACGGCCCAUACGACUACGGGAGGCAGCAGUGGGGAAUAUUGGAAGAUGGGAGGAACCCUGAUCAAGCAAUGCCGAGUGAGUGAUGACGGCAUUAGGAUUGUAAAUCUCUUUUACCAGGGAUGAUAAUGACAGUACAUGGAGAAUAAGCUCCGGCUAACUCCGUGGCAGCCGCCGCAGUAA
Molecule: ribosomal RNA, 449 nt
Filed under: uncultured bacterium
Lineage: Bacteria
Description: partial 16S ribosomal RNA
Rfam family: Bacterial small subunit ribosomal RNA
Source: RNAcentral